CCUAACUUGGAUGCAACUCCAGUUGACCAUGGAAAGAAAGUAUCCGCAACUAGACAAUUGGGACGAUACUCUUUCAACAGCUCUUCGAGUGAUUGAACAAGCAUUGUGGUGGCCUUGAAGAAAUUUAUCCCCAUUUCAGGUGUGGUGAUUAUGCUUACCUUCAGGCCUCGCGAAGCAAAUAGUUUGGCCAUGUCUAUGAGGGGGAUGAUAUGGCCUUGAGCCAUGAAUGGGAAGAAGAAAACAUGAAGCUCAUGUCUUUUUUCACUGUCCAUUAGAUCUUGCAAAGAUGAUCUAACUGAAAGCUUAUUAAGCUAAAAUUUUGUUCCAAGAAAGAAGUCUUAAAAGGGUUGAGCUACAGAUUUGGAAAGGAAAUUCUUGCCUUUUGAUUUCCUUAUCAAGUGCCGUCCUCAAUCCUCUUGAAUAACAUCCGCCAGAUCAUGUUGACAUGACAUCAUCAAUCUGACAAAAGUAAAAAUGGCCGUCCGUUAGAUCAUGUAAAUUUGCGUCAUUACCUGUAAUACGGAUGUAGGCAACGACACGCAACCCCUAAGUUAAUUAUCCCCUCCAUCAAUGACCAGAAAAGGGUAGGAUCCUGCGAAAGUGGACAUGUGGUCUUGUGGGGUGAUUGUUGUUUGUGGUAAUGGCUGGUUACUUGCUAUUCCGUGAACAAAAUAUCAUGGUGAUGUACAAGAUCUAUAACGGCGAGUUUCUGUGUCCUACAUGGUUCUCUUUGGAACUCAUUAGAAUCCUUUCGAAGCUUCUUAACGCAAUAACUCUGAAACUCGAAUCACAAUCCCCUAGAUAAUGGAGAAUGAGUGGCUCAAAAAGGAGUUCAAGCAUAUCAAAAUUUUCAUUGUGGAUGAUAAAGUUUUUAGUUUUGACGUUGAGGACAACAGGAUGAUAGGAUUCCUUCAUUAUCUAGAUCUGCAAGUUUGAAUGCUUAUGCUUUUGAUGUUAUAUCCUUCUCGAUCGCCUGGGCUUGAUUUAUCUGGGUUGUUUGAAGACAGUGGAGAGGGAUCAAGAUUUGUUUCAAGGGUUCCUAUAUUCAAGAUUAUAUCAAAACUGGAGGAAAUUGGUAAAGUUGCGAGCUUCACGGUGAGGAAAAACGGUCAAUUACCGCAGCUGAUAUAUUUGAGUUGACAUCAAAAUUAGUGGCGGUGGAGAUUAAGAAGAAAAGUGGGGAUGAAGGAUGAAGUAUGAAGGAUGAAGGAAGUUAAUCCACCCACGUCGGCUUGAGCCCAUCACGUGACAAGGGCAUUAGCCCAUCUUAUGGCCAGCUAUUGUUUCUCUUAUAAAGAAAUUAUAAAUCCCCUGUUGAGUACAACUCCAACGCGAAGGAGUCAAUUUUUGGAACAUUAGAUUUAACUCCUAACCAAUGAGGGGUAGGAGAGAGGUCAACAUACAAUAGAAAGAGCAGAAUUUUUAAGAUAACUCUGCUAUGAAAUUCGGCUGGUACACGAGAGAAAAAUCAAUCAUCCUUCAAGUUUUUCGGGGAGAUCAUAACUUGGUGCAACUUGAUACAAUAUUGGUGCUAUAGUUUGGUGAUCUUCUUCCUCUUUUUUGUUUGUGAGAAAACACUGCAGUUUAAGUACAUCUAAUAUGUAAUUAAAUAUGGGUUAGUGAUACAAAAUUGGUUGUGGGUUAUAUAUAUAUAAUUCGAUAUUGUUAGGGCCAUAAUAAUUUUUCUAACAUUGAUAUCAGAGCCGAGUUUUUUUUUAUUAGUCUAAAUAUAUUAAUUAAAAUGUUAAACACAUGUUAAGUGAUUAGAAUUAAAUCUAGAAUUUAAUUUUGUAAAUAUGAAUUUAUUGAAAAAUAUUCAAUAUGCCUAUUUUGAGCUGUUAUAUCUCUUUGUUUAUUUAUUCUUUAUCCAUGAAUUUUAUACCAUUGUAAAGUAGACAUGAUAAGUUUUCCAUAAAUAUAUUAUUUGUAUUGUUUGGAUAAAA
Molecule: long non-coding RNA, 1943 nt
Organism: Hevea brasiliensis (rubber tree)
Lineage: Eukaryota; Viridiplantae; Streptophyta; Magnoliopsida; Malpighiales; Euphorbiaceae
Exons: 2
Source: RefSeq, a predicted model, not a curated record